Molecule: ribosomal RNA, 253 nt
Filed under: uncultured bacterium
Lineage: Bacteria
Description: partial 16S ribosomal RNA
Rfam family: Bacterial small subunit ribosomal RNA
Source: RNAcentral
UACGUAGGUGGCAAGCGUUGUCCGGAAUUAUUGGGCGUAAAGCGCGCGCAGGUGGUUUCUUAAGUCUGAUGUGAAAGCCCACGGCUCAACCGUGGAGGGUCAUUGGAAACUGGGGAACUUGAGUGCAGAAGAGGAAAGUGGAAUUCCAAGUGUAGCGGUGAAAUGCGUAGAGAUUUGGAGGAACGCCAGUGGCGAAGGCGACUUUCUGGUCUGUAACUGACACUGAGGCGCGAAAGCGUGGGGAGCGAACAGG